AGAGUUUGAUCCUGGCUCAGGAUGAACGCUAGCGGGAGGCCUAAUACAUGCAAGUCGAGCGGUAGAGUCCUUCGGGACUUGAGAGCGGCGCACGGGUGAGUAACGCGUACAUGACCUGCCUUUAAGACCGGGAUAGCCCUGGGAAACUGGGAUUAAUACCGGAUGUGAUAAUAUGUAUAGAGAUAUAUUAUUAAAGUUGAGGCGCUUAGAGAUGGGUGUGCGUUUGAUUAGCUAGUUGGUAGGGUAACGGCCUACCAAGGCGACGAUCAAUAGGGGGCGUGAGAGCGUGACCCCCCACACGGGUACUGAGACACGGACCCGACUCCUACGGGAGGCAGCAGUAAGGAAUAUUGGUCAAUGGACGGAAGUCUGAACCAGCCAUCCCGCGUGCAGGAUGAAGGUCCUAUGGAUUGUAAACUGCUUUUAGCAGAGACGAAACGCCGACAUUUAUGUUGGUCUGACGGUAUCUGCGGAAUAAGCACCGGCUAACUCCGUGCCAGCA
This 502-nucleotide ribosomal RNA is filed under the name uncultured bacterium. RNAcentral's name for it is "bacterial SSU rRNA". It matches the Rfam family "Bacterial small subunit ribosomal RNA", at positions 8 to 513 of the family's 1533-position model. The record is from RNAcentral.